UUAUUAUAUAACAUAGUUUACACAAGAUUAAACAUUUAUAUGCAAGGCAGUAACAAUACUGAAUAUAUCAACUGAAGGCACUGACAAAAUUACAACAAAUAUUGAUUGAUUGAUUGAUUGUUUCUUAACAUCACCUUAGCAUAUUUAUACACAAAAUAAUAAUCAAUUUUGAUGCAGAAUUAGUCAGUGGGUAAAUAAAAUUUUUCAUAUACACUAUUUGAAAUUUAAUAGCCAUUUUUAGUUAAGAAUGUAUGGUUUAAAAAAGCCACAACCAUUUAAAUUAGAAUCAACAUUAUUUUAGUAGAUUAUCUAAAAUUGAAUGUUAAAAGUACUAAUCAUCAUGAGAGACUUGUAUAACAAGUAUAUUUUUCUAAAGGAUGAUUAUGUAGUAUUCAAAUAUGAUAUAUGUAUUCCAUACACAUUUAUUUAUUUUAUGAAAAUGUGAGAUAUUUUUCAUUUAGUUCUUCAGGUUAGCAGCUACCAUUAUAAUGUUGUUCCAUUUUGUUAAGUAAAAUAGACAAAAAUACUAUAAAACAACUAAUUUUUUGCAGAUAUUUUGUUUCACAGGUUGCCCAUACUAGCCUAUUUCACAGCAAUUUGAUAACAAUUUUUCAAAUGGUUAUUCUAAAACUCACCAAAGACUCAAACAUAAUUGGUUUGCGAAAAUUAGUUGAUUUAUAGUAACUCAAAUUUAUUUUAAUUGAUAAAUUAAAAUAGAACUUUACAUCUUAUAAUGGAGUUACAGUAUAUUUAUUUUUCUUUUCUUAUUUUUUAAGUUAUAAAUCCUGUGAAGCAGUUUUUGACCUAUCAACAUACCAUAAGAAACACUUGCAAUGUAGGUCCUCCAGUACUGUUGUAAUAUAACUUUAAGCAAUGAUAGUAUAUAAAUUAAAAUACAUUUCUAUCAGAAAUUAGCACCUUUUAGUUAUCAAUUAAAGACCAAUGCCCCUAAGAUAAAAUAACACAUAAGUUUUGAAAUAAUGAUAGUAACUUUUAAAGUUUCAAUUUUUUUCAAUUUUUUUUAAUUUCAUCCUUAGCAUUCAAGGAAAAUUAAUCAUUCACCUUACACAUAUUGAAUUUCAUUUCUGCAUUCAGAAAACAGGGCAUAAUAUUAACAUAUUUUUUUAUGAAUUUAUAAAUCUAUAACUUUUAUAUGAAAUAAAGUUUCUACUAAUUUGAGGCACAAAACUCAGCUAAACAAUAGAUUUAAGGCAAGUUUGACAAGUAUAUAUAAAUUUAUUUAUUAAAUGCAAAUGACAGUAUUGACCAUACUGUCAAACCUGAGUAAUGUUAAAACAUAAAAUCUUAAUAGGGACUUAUGUUUACUUUUUCCUGAUAAAAAUAACAAUAUAUUUUAGUAUUAGAACCUUAAGCACCCACAUACCAAUAAUGAAAAUAUUUCCUCAAAUUUAUGUGAUGUCAAAAUCUACUUUCAGCAAGAAAAACAACAAUAUUUACCAAUACAAUUUUGACUGUCUUAACAACUUAAUUAUUAAGUAGUCAUACUCAUGUUACAACUUGAAACAAUAAAUAAUUUAGUACUUUAUACAAAUUGGUAAAAUAUACAAAUUUUCAAAUGACUGUUGGAAAUUUGUUCAAAAGGAUUUAAUAGCCAUUGUACUUUAAUAUCUUUUCAUAUAUAGAUAUAGGAAGAUGUGGUAUAUGUGACAAUGAAACAAAUCUCCAUCCAAGUAACAAUUUAUAAAUGUAAACCAUUAUAGGUCAAGGUAUUGCCUUCGACACAGAGUUUUGGCUCACACCAAACAGAAAGCUAUAAAGGGCCCCCAAAAUUACUAGUGUAAAACCAUUCACAUGGGAAAACCAACUGGCUGAUCCAUAUAGAUGCUUUUGAUUGAUAGAUUAAGGGACUAUUUGUCAACUGAUAUAGUGUCAGAAUAUAAAUUUUGUAUUCUAGUUACAUAUAGAAUGUAAAGUCAAUGCCCAUGGUACAAAGUUUGUACAGAUAAUCAUCUACCAUUUCCUAAAUCUUAUAAAAUAUAUAUCUUUCAUUUUUUUUUCAAGAUACAAAUAUUGUAAAUCUAAUCUUGAAUCAAGACAAAUUUCUACAAAUGGUAUGAAAGAUACAACAUGUACAAUUAUAUUAUAUCUAAAUCUUAUAUUUUCAACUUCCUCUUAAAUGGCAAUAUAUUGGCAUCAAAACAAAAAUGUAUUUUAGUGAGACAUUAAGUAAUCUCCUGGCCAGUUAUAAUAUACACUAUAAAGUCUUCUGGAGUCAGGUUCUCAAAAAAAACUUAGGACUAAGAUUGGUGGUAAGUAUACUGAAUUGUUCAUGACUUAAGAUCAUCAUCAAUCUAAGUAGUAAUUUUUUUGUGAAACCGACUCCAAAUAUUAUUUAUAGAAUGAAUAAUCGAAGAAUUUUAAAAUAUAUUAAAUUUUCAACUUUUGAUCAAACUGUGAAAGUAUGUAGCACAUGAUUUGAUAAAUAUCUUUAUUUGGUCAUGAGUUGAAUAUUUUUCAAAAUUUAGAUUCUUGGAUAAGAUACACUUUUUUUACAUUUACUUUUUAUGCUGAUAUAAAGAGGAAAAUGCAAUCUUUCACCUUUUUUACAUAUUUCCACUUAUUUUUUAUUGAAUGGUCAAUUGAAAUGUUUACAUUAGAGGAGUGAAAUACAGCACCCAAAAAUUACUGAGGGUGAAAGAAAAUGAUUAAAAAAAAGAUACAUGACAAUAAAAAAAAAUAUUUUUUGAUUUCAAUCAUUUUUUAAAAC
RNAcentral lists this long non-coding RNA (2728 nucleotides) under Mytilus galloprovincialis (Mediterranean mussel). The record is from RNAcentral. Lineage: Eukaryota; Metazoa; Mollusca; Bivalvia; Mytilida; Mytilidae.